RNAcentral lists this signal recognition particle RNA (90 nucleotides) under Rhodospirillaceae bacterium. Its description in RNAcentral is "signal recognition particle sRNA small type". It matches the Rfam family "Bacterial small signal recognition particle RNA". From Rfam's summary of the family: The signal recognition particle (SRP) is a universally conserved ribonucleoprotein involved in the co-translational targeting of proteins to membranes. Archaeal SRP consists of a 7S RNA and homologues of the eukaryotic SRP19 and SRP54 proteins. In most bacteria, the SRP consists of a 4.5S RNA and the Ffh protein (a homologue of the eukaryotic SRP54 protein). The record is from RNAcentral. Lineage: Bacteria; Pseudomonadati; Pseudomonadota; Alphaproteobacteria; Rhodospirillales; Rhodospirillaceae.
GGGCGGUUACGGACGUACCGCUUGCCAAUCCGGUCAGGACCGAAAGGUAGCAGCCGUAACAAGUCUGGUCCGGGUCGUUGACCGUUCUUC